Molecule: non-coding RNA, 207 nt
Submitted as: unclassified sequences
Source: Rfam
ACCUUAUACAAAUGUAUUAAACGCAAGACAGUUUAGCAUUUCCCUGUAAGGUGGUGUUAAGUAGAAACUUUAACGACAAGUGCUAUUGUGUAGCUUUUAAAGUUGAAAUAGUAUGAGUUAAAGUGGAACAGGUUAACCGUAAGACCUUAAGUUGAAAAACUUUAAAAUUGACCUUAAUAGUUUUUAUAACUGUUGAGUUAUGGUAAA